Molecule: unclassified non-coding RNA, 644 nt
Filed under: uncultured Prochlorococcus sp.
Lineage: Bacteria; Bacillati; Cyanobacteriota; Cyanophyceae; Synechococcales; Prochlorococcaceae
Description: partial 16S-23S ribosomal RNA intergenic spacer; may also contain 16S ribosomal RNA and 23S ribosomal RNA
Rfam family: Bacterial small subunit ribosomal RNA (bases 1-93)
Source: RNAcentral
UUGUGGAGGAGGACGCCGAAGGUGGGGCUAAUGACUGGGGUGAAGUCGUAACAAGGUAGCCGUACCGGAAGGUGCGGCUGGAUCACCUCCUAACAGGGAGACAACAAAAUGUUUAAAUUAUUAUUUUGUCGCCUUAGGUCGAUCGGUAUCUCACAUUCUUAUUUAAUAAGGAUUUUAUUUCCUAAGUUUUUUCUAGGUCACACCCAUUACUUUUCCUGGGCCAUUAGCUCAGGUGGUUAGAGCGCACCCCUGAUAAGGGUGAGGUCCCUGGUUCAAGUCCAGGAUGGCCCAUAUCUCUAUGUUGGGGGUAUAGCUCAGUUGGUAGAGCGCCUGCUUUGCAAGCAGGAUGUCAGUGGUUCGAGUCCGCUUACCUCCACUGAUUACCACCUCUUACAUAACUUUUAUUCAGGAAAUGUUUUGAGUAGUGAUCAAAUUCUGAACGAAUCUAGCUUCCUAAUGAAAUCAUUAAGAUGCUGGACUCAUUGAAUUAAUUUCAUUGUUUUCAGAGAACCUUGACAACUGCAUAGAUUAUUUUUAAAGACAAUAAGCAUCUUUGUGAUGCAGAUUUAUUAUUUGUGCGAAUGCAUUAAUAACAAUUCUAUUAAGCUGAUGCUUCAAUUAUGAAGUUAUUGGUCAAGCUACAA